This 522-nucleotide ribosomal RNA is filed under the name uncultured bacterium. RNAcentral describes it as "partial 16S ribosomal RNA". It matches the Rfam family "Bacterial small subunit ribosomal RNA", at positions 28 to 523 of the family's 1533-position model. The record is from RNAcentral.
GACGAACGCUGGCGGCGUGCCUAAUACAUGCAAGUCGAACGGUCUUUUCUAUGGAAGCUUGCUUCCGCUGAGAAGAUAGUGGCGAACGGGUGAGUAACACGUGGGUAACCUGCCCAUAAGAGGGGGAUAACAUCCGGAAACGGGUGCUAAUACCGCAUAGGUUUCUUGGUCGCAUGAUCGAGAAAGGAAAGACGGCCUUUGUGCUGUCACUUAUGGAUGGACACGCGGCGUAUUAGUUAGUUGGUGAGGUAACGGCUCACCAAGACGAUGAUACGUAGCCGACCUGAGAGGGUGAUCGGCCACAUUGGGACUGAGACACGGCCCAAACUCCUACGGGAGGCAGCAGUAGGGAAUCUUCCGCAAUGGACGAAAGUCUGACGGAGCAACGCCGCGUGAGUGAAGAAGGUUUUCGGAUCGUAAAACUCUGUUGUCAGAGAAGAACAAGUCGGAGAGUAACUGCUCCGGCCUUGACGGUAUCUGACCAGAAAGCCACGGCUAACUACGAGCCAGCCGCCGCGGUAA